RNAcentral lists this ribosomal RNA (522 nucleotides) under uncultured Acidobacteriota bacterium. RNAcentral describes it as "bacterial SSU rRNA". It matches the Rfam family "Bacterial small subunit ribosomal RNA", at positions 382 to 896 of the family's 1533-position model. Lineage: Bacteria; Pseudomonadati; Acidobacteriota. The record is from RNAcentral.
CCUGACGCAGCGACGCCGCGUGGAGGAUGAAGGUCUUCGGAUUGUAAACUCCUGUUGCUCGGGACGAAAAGCCUCGACCUAACACGUCGAGGUCUGACGGUACCGAGUGAGGAAGCCCCGGCUAACUCUGUGCCAGCAGCCGCGGUAAUACAGAGGGGGCAAGCGUUGUUCGGAAUUACUGGGCGUAAAGGGCGCGUAGGCGGCCCGCUAAGUCGAACGUGAAAUCCCCGAGCUCAACUCGGGAACUGCGUCCGAUACUGGUGGGCUUGAAUCCGGGAGAGGGAUGCGGAAUUCCAGGUGUAGCGGUGAAAUGCGUAGAUAUCUGGAGGAACACCGGUGGCGAAGGCGGCAUCCUGGACCGGCAUUGACGCUGAGGCGCGAAAGCUAGGGGAGCAAACGGGAUUAGAUACCCCGGUAGUCCUAGCCCUAAACGAUGAAUGCUUGGUGUGGCGGGUAUCGAUCCCUGCCGUGCCGAAGCUAACGCAUUAAGCAUUCCGCCUGGGGAGUACGGUCGCAAGGCUG